This is a non-coding RNA of Heterocephalus glaber (naked mole-rat), 1188 nucleotides long. The record is from RefSeq and is a predicted model, not a curated record. Lineage: Eukaryota; Metazoa; Chordata; Mammalia; Rodentia; Bathyergidae.
AAGAAGGCGCAAGGGAAGAUGGAAUGGAGGAAAUGGACAGAGUCCUUGGUUCACUCCCGUGUACAUUUGUGUCUGUUUUUGCGUUGUGGAAAUCGAACUCAGGGCCUCACGUGUGCUAGGCAAAAGCUCUACCACGGAGUCACGUCUCGGGCAUUUUUAUUUUGAGACAGUCUCCCUGAAUUGCCCAGGCUGGGAUUAACUCGAGAUCCUCUUGCCUCACUUCCCAGCCUCAUAAACGGAUUAACAGCCCUGAGCCACGCCCAGCCACACCUAUACGUUUCUUGAAAAGAAAUUCUUUUUUUUUUUUUUGUACCGGGGAUCGAACUCAGGUCCUUGUGCUUGCGAGGCAGGUGCCGGAACCACUGAGCUAAAUUCCUGGCCCAUGAAAAGAAAUUCUUAAUAUUGCAAGAGUGCUAAUCCUCAACUCAGAGGCCCACCUGUUUAACACGUCAUGAUAAGAGAACCUGUUGCCUAAAACACUGGCCCUAAGAACUAUGAAAAAUAAAGUGGGAUUGGUCUGCGGCCUACAAGAACUAUAUAGGAUGUACAAGAGUAUACAGAUAGACCCAUCAAGAGCUGUGAGCCACCUACAACUAGACUGAAGUGGUGUCUUGGACCCUGUUGGAUGUUUAAGGAUAAAUUUCUUUAAAAAAAGACAAAGCUAAGGGAACAGUCUUCAGGAAUGAAAAUGUGUGUCUUACAAGUAAACAGGAAGAGAAAAUCUUUGAAGAUCCAGUCAGAUCAGGCUAAUAUCCUGUGAAGCCUCAGAUUAGAAGUGUGAUUUGGUUCCAGAUCCAAAGAUGGCUUAACUAUGGACACAUAUCUGAGAAGGGGACAUUCGGUAAGGUUCAAGUGGUAUUGGCCUGCUUUAACUGAAUGAACCUACUUCAAGACUCAUGACAAUCUCAAAAGGGGCAAUGCUAGUCUUUUCUGCCUAGUUCCAGUUUUAGCAUGCAUAAGCACAAGUAAAUUAAGCUUGGAACAGCAUGGUGACAUUCGGAAUUGGACAAGUGAUGGGUGCCGGUGGCCCUGUGAUAUGUCAGAGCACCUGUCAGACAUGGCUUCUUAUUCAGUGGAGAAGAAUGAACUAAAAAGAAAGAAGAGGAGACUCAAGGAAGGGAAAAGACCCAAAUUACAGUGAUUAAGAGCCUGGAUGAUAAAAAAAAAAUAAAAGAAAAAAACCAGAAA